Molecule: ribosomal RNA, 456 nt
Filed under: uncultured bacterium
Lineage: Bacteria
Description: bacterial SSU rRNA
Rfam family: Bacterial small subunit ribosomal RNA
Source: RNAcentral
GACGAACGCUGGCGGCGCGCCUAACACAUGCAAGUCGAACGAGCGAGAGAGAGCUUGCUUUCUCGAGCGAGUGGCGAACGGGUGAGUAACGCGUGAGGAACCUGCCUCAAAGAGGGGGACAACAGUUGGAAACGACUGCUAAUACCGCAUAAGCCCACGGCUCGGCAUCGAGCAGAGGGAAAAGGAGCAAUCCGCUUUGAGAUGGCCUCGCGUCCGAUUAGCUAGUUGGUGAGGUAAUGGCCCACCAAGGCAACGAUCGGUAGCCGGACUGAGAGGUUGAACGGCCACAUUGGGACUGAGACACGGCCCAGACUCCUACGGGAGGCAGCAGUGGGGAAUAUUGCACAAUGGGGGAAACCCUGAUGCAGCGACGCCGCGUGGAGGAAGAAGGUCUUCGGAUUGUAAACUCCUGUUGUUGAGGAAGAUAAUGACGGUACUCAACAAGGAAGUGACGGC